This is a non-coding RNA of Callorhinus ursinus (northern fur seal), 5213 nucleotides long. The record is from RefSeq and is a predicted model, not a curated record. Lineage: Eukaryota; Metazoa; Chordata; Mammalia; Carnivora; Otariidae.
CAUUAACUUUCCUCGUGGCGUUCAAUUGUUCUCGCGAGAUUUCGGGCUCACUAUUAGCCGGGUCGCGGGCUGGAUCUUCCUUUCUUUGCGCGAGGUUGUGGAGAGAAACUACAUCACGUUUACCGAAUUGUCAGAACUCUUAAGCAAAUAACAAGUGGCGAAUAAAACAAUUUGGAGAAGGACUUGGGAGAUAUGUAACUGGAAUGAAUUUUAACUAUAAUGGCAUCUAAUUCAGCUGUGGAAAUUGAAAAUGAGAGGGGCAAAGAAACCCUACUAGAAAGUUUGUUCAUUCACCUGAAGAUGUUCAGGCAAGGGAUUCAUCUAGUGACUCCUCUUUUGAACCAAGACCAUUGACUUUAAAAGCUAUUUUUGAAAGAUUCAAAAAAAAGAAACGUAAAAAGAGGAAAUAUAAACCAACAGGAAGACCAAGGGGAAGACCAAAAGGGAGAAAAAACACUAGACGUUCCCAAAUAAAUAAGAAACAAGUUCAAGAUAAAGGAUCUGGGUUCCCAUUUUUAGAAUCUGAGAAUGCAAGAAAACCAUUACCUUGGAGAAAAAUUUUAACCUUUGAGCAAGCAGUGGCAAGAGGAUUUUUCAACUACCUUGAAAAACUGAAGUAUGAAUACUACCUCAAGGAAUCCUUGAAACAAAUGAAUGUUGGUGAAGAUUUAGAAAAAGAAGAUUUUGACAGUCGUAGAUACAAAUACUUGGAUGAUGAUGGUUCUCUCUCUCCUAUUGAAGAAUCAGAAACAGAGGAGGCUGCAACAAAUCUUGAACAUAAUGAUGAAUGUGAUAUCAAAUUGGUGGACAAUAAUGAUUUCAUAAUAAGUUCUGAAGUACCAAAGAUGAAGAAUGUGUAUUUAGAACAAGAAGAAUAUACUGAAGAAGCCGCUUUGUCUAAAAAGAGAGCAUCAAAGUCCAAAAACAUUGGACAGGACAGAAUGGCCUGAAAAGAGAUAGGAAUAUGAAUGUUAAGGUAAAUAGAACAGAGAAAACAGCUUUUUGUAGAAAGAUGAAAAACACAAAUAUAUAUGUUGGCGUAGUGAUAAAGAACCUGCUAAGGAGAAAAAAAGAAUGUCUGAACAAGUUAAUGAAACUCGUAACGAAUUACUAGAAAAAACCAUUUUAAAAACAGUGAAAUUAUACACAUAGAAAAAAUUGAGGCUUGCAUAUAGCAGAAAUAAUCACUUGAGAAAUCUGUUUUGCCUCUGCUUGUUUAUUUCAGGGUAAGCACUUAAAAGGCAUCAUUUGAGCCUUCAAGAAGUACAGAGACUGUAAAUCUUUUAUUACAGUAAUCACUAAUGAUGGACGGCAACCAUCCAUUCCUCAGAGUACCUGAAACGGGUUUUGCCCGCAGUUUUAUUCAGAUAAAAGUGACCUUUAGCUUCAAAUAUGUAGUACCAUAAUAACUAGUUACCUAGACUAUUUCAGCUACCACUUACUAUGCAUAUUGCUGAGUAUGCCACUAAAUAUAUACUGUAUUUUAUGAUCGCACUUGUGCUUGUUUUUGUUUAGUUUGUGAACAAAGACUUAGACUAAGUGCAAAAAAUAAAUCCUCUUUUGCAACCCAGAACUCAUGGCACAGUAUGAGUUUUGAUACAUACAAGAAGGAACAAGAUCCCUAAAACAGAUUAAAGUGAUGGUGGGUAUAUUGACAAACCUGAAGGGCGGUUCCAGGACUGUAGAAUUACUAAAGGUAUAUAAGGGAAGGGGUGCCUGGGUGGGUCAGUCAUUAAGCGUCUGCAUUGGGCUCAGAUCAGGAUCCCAGGAUCCUGGGAUCUAGCCCUGCAUCAGGCUCCCUGCUUGGUGGGGAAGCUUGCUGCUUCUCCCACUCGCCCUGCUUGUGUUCCCUCUCUCUGUCAAAAAUAAAUAAAAUCUUCAAAAAAAAAAAAAAAUCUCAGCUAUAUUGAAUUAGAAUUCUAAUUUUAAUGCUGACAUGAAACAAAGAUGCUUUUUUUUUUAGGCUUUUCACUUGAACACAAUGUCUGGACUUUAAAGGUAUGUCUUAUGCUUCAGGUGUUGGCAUAUCCCAACAAUCUGUACAGUUCUAGGGUGUGAUGGCUUAGGGGUGAAUAGGAUUUGAACUCAUAUUUAGAGGGGUGUUUGAAAUUGAGAACCAGGCAGAUCCAGGCUCAGACCCUAACAGGGCCCCGGAGUAAAGACAUUGGAUCCCAAAGAUUACAGGUGGGGAGUUUUUGAAGUAUGUCCGUAUUCAAGUGGAGAUCGAAGAAGCUCAACCGAAAGAACUCUGGCAAGUUAAUUCUCUUACCAUAUAAUGGUCAUUACCAAGGCUUUGAGAAUGCAGUUUCUCAUUUGCUGUGGACAUGACCAUAAAAAAUUUUCCCACUAGGUUUUUUUUCUUUCUGCUACUUUGCUAGCAUUCAGCCUAUUGGGAACAUUUUAUCAACCGUGUUCUAUUUCCAUUGGCUAGAUCAGCACUGUCCAGUAUAAAUGUAACAAAAGCCAUAUGUGAUUUGGUAAUAGUCAUAUUUCAAAUUCUAAUCUGACCAUACAUGGCUAGUAUAUUGAACAGUGCGUGCCUAGAUUUCUACUCUUGCAAGUGUCUUUUGCUAAAUCACUCCUGCUAAUAUCCAUGCAACUUGUAAUACAAUAGAUUUAAUAGAGGGAGGCUGGCUUCAGUUUACAUGAUCAUCUCUGGAAAUGGAACCUUACUUUUAUGUUCCUGUUAUGUAGGACUGACAGUGACAACUGUGGAUUGAACAGUUCUUUUUAAAAGGUAUGUACACAUUUGAAAAAAAUAACUUCCAGGUCAUUUCAAAGAGGGCUUGUGGGACUAAAACCAAGAGCUCUUAACGCUAUGACCAAAUACUGGAAUUCUCCAUAGGAUGUAAUAGUUACUCAAUAGUGCUAUGUUUUCCUGAGGAGAUACAAGAUUUAGCUGCUUUUAUCCAUGAUUGGUCAAGUGGGAAAGAAGAAAUGUCUCCGAAGUUUAACCACUGUGUAUACUCUUGUUCUCAGGGCUAUUGUGAAGAUUAUGAUUCUGACUUUGGAGGAACUACGGUGAAUGGAAGCGGAAGGAAUCACAUGUAAAAUUCCUCAAAUAAAAAUUUAUUAACUUUAAAUAAUUUUGCCUAUAUUACACAUAAUUAAAAAAAACUUUACACUUUUAGUAGAAAGUCAGCAUGUAUUUUUGGCUCGAAGUUUCUGUAGUGUUUUCUGUGGAAGGAAUAAAAAAAUAAAAUUUAGCAUUUAUCCGUUGCAGUAUAUAUACCCUAGACAUGGAAAAAUUGUAGGGGGCCUAGCUCACCUUAUGAAAUUCUUUUGCCCUUGCUCUGUUUUGGGCAUAUGCAUCUUGCUUUGCUUUUUCUUCCCUUUGCCGUUUGACUUCAGCUAACUGAUUGUAUGAUCUGUAAAUUGAUACAUAGAAUUAAGGACACACAUUUUAGGAAUGUAAAUUACUAUUUGCUCACACACAUACACACACACCUAUACCUUAGGGCCCUUUGAUGCAUGAGGGCUUGUGCAGUCUUUCUGUCUUCAGGAAGUGACACUCUAACCUUAACCUUAUUCGCACCCUUCAGGCGACUCACAGAUGAGCCUGAGCAGAGAACAAGUGACUUGGCAAAUAUUACAAUGCUACAUUCUCUUUGUGAGACCUGAUGCAGAUUGUGUGGAACAUACCUGUAGGUUUCUCCUUAGCUAUUUUGGUUUGAGAAUUUUCAGGAAUACGAGUUUUAUUCUUUAUUUCUUUCUGUCUCUGGGAGGAUCUCUCCAUAAAUGAUUUUUUCCUCUUUAUAAAUGCUUCUUGUAAGCUCCCAGGUAGAGCUAUAAUCUUUGGAGGAGUUUCUGUUAAAAAAAAAAAAAACUGAAGCUUAAAUGUUUUGUGCCAGCAGUGUACAAGAUUGUGGGACAGUGUGAAUAUUGGAACUGAAUCGGGAACUCUGCCAGCCCCUCAGUUUAAGCAUUUCAGAUGCUCAAGGGCAUACCUGCCGACAGGAUCACUUGCUCCUUGCUGCAGUGUUCAGAUACACCUAGAUAAUCUGAGGUUUCUGUUUCUGAUAAAAGAGGCAGAAAUUCACUCACCUAAUUGCAAAAAAAAAAAAUUAUAGAUGAAUUUACCACUUUUCAUCUCACUGAACAGAAUCACAAGCGUAGGUUCUAAACCUUUUAAGUUCCUAGACCCCUGGUUCCCUUUGUUAGACAAAGAGAUGUGGUCUUUGGGGGAGAGGUAGGCAGCUGAGUGCCUUACUCUCUGCUCCCCUAAUGGAGUAUAGGAAUCCAUAUUCAAUAGACUUCGUUCUAUUCUUUCUUUGUGCUGGUUCUCACAUCUGAACUACAGGACUAAGUUUUCUGGGAAGGGAAAGUUUUAAUAAAUGACUUUAUUCCUAUUAAAAUGCUUUACCUGACCAGCCUACUCUAGCCAAAAGCUCCCCCCACCCCCUACCCUGAUAGCUGUCAAGUUCUUCCACACCACUUCUGCAUUAGCUCUUAGUCUCCUGCUUCUCCAAAUUACCCUUAUCAUGGCAACAAAAGUACUAGGUGUGGAGUCAUUAGAUAAAUAAUCUAAUACUGUAUCAGGCCACAGUACUCUCUAGAAUCUGGGACUUCCCUGUGAGAGUUUCCCUCUUAAUACACAAACAGUUAUCAGUGAAUUCAUCUAUUGUAAUCUAGGAUCUUAGCAAAUUAGUCAUUGGAGGGAAUUCUGCCAUACAUUUAAUGCUAUCUUCUAAGAAGUGAAGUGAGCCAGGAAGAAUGGUUUGCUUGCAGUGGAGAAAAGUAUAAGGAACCUGCAGCUAAAACCUAUCUUGGUGUUUUAUAACUUGAAAUACAUCUUCAUUUUUUCUUCAAGACACGCACAAAAUAAACUCAAAAGUAAUAGCACUCGUUCUGUACCGCCCUCAGUUCUGAUUUUUACCUAUCUUCUAGAGCUCUGCUGCCUCAGAACUUUUUUGGAACAAGAUUCAUCUUUCAUUGAAUCAAUUCAUUUCGCGAAUUCCAACCCUUCCAGGUACUAAUGAAAUCUACAGCAUCGUAAGAUAAAUGUCCCUCUCCUCAGCUGUCAGUUGCUUAAAGCACAGUAACCCUUCCUGUUCACUGUAGUUGACAGCAUUUGCACCCGGGAAAGGGAAGGAAAUUAGUUUGCAAACAAUUCUAAUGAAAAAAAGGAAAAACUUACCUGUUUCCUUAUUCUCAGCUAUGUGUUGGCUGUGUAAAAUGAGGUGUAUUCAUAUUAAAGGGAGCUAUGAAAUUUA